This 506-nucleotide ribosomal RNA is filed under the name uncultured bacterium. Its description in RNAcentral is "partial 16S ribosomal RNA". It matches the Rfam family "Bacterial small subunit ribosomal RNA", at positions 29 to 523 of the family's 1533-position model. The record is from RNAcentral.
AUUGAACGCUGGCGGCAGGCCUAACACAUGCAAGUCGGACGGUAGCACAGAGGAGCUUGCACCUCGGGUGACGAGUGGCGGACGGGUGAGUAAUGUCUGGGGAUCUGCCCGAUAGAGGGGGAUAACCACUGGAAACGGUGGCUAAUACCGCAUAACGUCGCAAGACCAAAGAGGGGGACCUUCGGGCCUCUCACUAUCGGAUGAACCCAGAUGGGAUUAGCUAGUAGGCGGGGUAACGGCCCACCUAGGCGACGAUCCCUAGCUGGUGUGAGAGGAUGACCAGCCACACUGGAAGUGAGACACGGUCCAGACGCCUACGGGAGGCAGCAGUGGGGAAUAUUGCACAAUGGGCGCAAGCCUGAUGCAGCCAUGCCGCGUGUAUGAAGAAGGCCUUCGGGUUGUAAAGUACUUUCAGCGGGGAGGAAGGCGAUGUGGUUAAUAACCGCAUUGAUUGACGUUACCCGCAGAAGAAGCACCGGCUAACUCCGUGCCAGCCGCCGCCGUAA